This 419-nucleotide ribosomal RNA is filed under the name uncultured bacterium. RNAcentral describes it as "partial 16S ribosomal RNA". It matches the Rfam family "Bacterial small subunit ribosomal RNA", at positions 360 to 776 of the family's 1533-position model. The record is from RNAcentral.
AAUAUUGGGCAAUGGACGAAAGUCUGACCCAGCCAUGCCGCGUGGAGGAUGAAGGUCCUCUGGAUUGUAAACUUCUUUUAUCUGGGAAGAAACCCACGGUUUCCACUGUGGUUGACGGUACCAGAUGAAUAAGCACCGGCUAACUCCUGGCCAGCAGCCGCGGUAAUACGGAGGGUGCAAGCGUUAUCCGGAUUCACUGGGUUUAAAGGGUGUGUAGGCGGGUAUUUAAGUCAGUGGUGAAAUCUCCGGGCUCAACCCGGAAACUGCCGUUGAUACUAUUUAUCUUGAAUCUUGUUGAGGUGGGCGGAAUAUAUCAUGUAGCGGUGAAAUGCUUAGAUAUGAUAUAGAACACCGAUUGCGAAGGCAGCUCACUAAACAAGCAUUGACGCUGAGGCACGAAAGCGUGGGGAUCAAACAGG